GGACCGUUAGCUCAGUUGGCUAGAGCGCGUCUUUGACGUAGACGAGGUCGUAGAUUCGAGUUCUACACGGUCCACCA
Molecule: transfer RNA, 77 nt
Filed under: Christensenellaceae bacterium OttesenSCG-928-L17
Lineage: Bacteria; Bacillati; Bacillota; Clostridia; Christensenellales; Christensenellaceae
Also listed under: 1 other name
Description: tRNA-Val
Source: RNAcentral